This 468-nucleotide ribosomal RNA is filed under the name uncultured bacterium. RNAcentral describes it as "partial 16S ribosomal RNA". It matches the Rfam family "Bacterial small subunit ribosomal RNA", at positions 28 to 507 of the family's 1533-position model. The record is from RNAcentral.
GACGAACGCUGGCGGCGUGCUUAACACAUGCAAGUCGAACGGAAAGGCCCUGCUUUUGUGGGGUGCUCGAGUGGCGAACGGGUGAGUAACACGUGAGUAACCUGCCCUUGACUUUGGGAUAACUUCAGGAAACUGGGGCUAAUACCGGAUAGGAGCUCCUGCUGCAUGGUGGGGGUUGGAAAGUUUCGGCGGUUGGGGAUGGACUCGCGGCUUAUCAGCUUGUCGGUGGGGUAGUGGCUUACCAAGGCUUUGACGGGUAGCCGGCCUGAGAGGGUGACCGGCCACAUUGGGACUGAGAUACGGCCCAGACUCCUACGGGAGGCAGCAGUGGGGAAUAUUGCACAAUGGGCGGAAGCCUGAUGCAGCAACGCCGCGUGCGGGAUGACGGCCUUCGGGUUGUAGACCGCUUUCGCCUGUGACGAAGCGUGAGUGACGGUAAUGGGUAAAGAAGCACCGGCUAACUACGUG